CCCAGACUCCUACGGGAGGCAGCAGUGGGGAAUAUUGCACAAUGGGCGCAAGCCUGAUGCAGCCAUGCCGCGUGUAUGAAGAAGGCCUUCGGGUUGUAAAGUACUUUCAGUCGGGAGGAAGGUGGUAAGGUUAAUAACCUUAUCAAUUGACGUUACCGACAGAAGAAGCACCGGCUAACUCCGUGCCAGCAGCCGCGGUAAUACGGAGGGUGCAAGCGUUGUCCGGAAUCAUUGGGCGUAAAGAGUUCGUAGGCGGUAUGUUAAGUCUGGUGUUAAAUGCAGGAGCUCAACUUCUGUUCGGCACUGGAUACUGGCAAACUAGAAUGCGGUAGAGGUAAAGGGAAUUCCUGGUGUAGCGGUGAAAUGCUUAGAUAUCAGGAGGAACAGCGGUGGCGUAAGCGCUUUACUGGGCCGUAAUUGACGCUGAGGAACGAAAGCCAGGGUAGCAAAUGGGAUUAGAUACCCCGGUA
RNAcentral lists this ribosomal RNA (470 nucleotides) under uncultured bacterium. RNAcentral describes it as "bacterial SSU rRNA". It matches the Rfam family "Bacterial small subunit ribosomal RNA", at positions 330 to 792 of the family's 1533-position model. The record is from RNAcentral.